GCCCGUCUAGCUCCGUUGGUAGAGCGCAAGUCUCUUAACCUUGUGGUCGUGGGUUCAAGACCCACGAUGGGCG
This 73-nucleotide transfer RNA is filed under the name Brassica oleracea var. oleracea. RNAcentral's name for it is "tRNA tRNA-Lys". It matches the Rfam family "tRNA". Rfam says of the family: Transfer RNA (tRNA) molecules are approximately 80 nucleotides in length. Their secondary structure includes four short double-helical elements and three loops (D, anti-codon, and T loops). The record is from Rfam by way of RNAcentral. Lineage: Eukaryota; Viridiplantae; Streptophyta; Magnoliopsida; Brassicales; Brassicaceae.